GCUUGUCUCAAAGAUUAAGCCAUGCAUGUCUAAGUGUAAAUAAGUCUAUACUGUGAAACUGCGAAUGGCUCAUUAAAUCAGUUAUCGUUUAUUUGAUGAUCUCUUACUACUUGGAUAACCGUAGUAAUUCUAGAGCUAAUACAUGCAUCAAACCCCGACUUCUGGAAGGGGUGUAUUUAUUAGAUGGAAACCAAUGCAGGGCAACCUGGAAUAUGGUGAUUCAUAAUAACUCGCGGAUCGGUUUACCGAUGCAUCAUUCAAGUUUCUGCCCUAUCAGCUUUGGAUGGUAGGAUAGAGGCCUACCAUGGUGGUAACGGGUGACGGAGGAUUAGGGUUCGAUUCCGGAGAGGGAGCCUGAGAAACGGCUACCACAUCCAAGGAAGGCAGCAGG
RNAcentral lists this ribosomal RNA (391 nucleotides) under uncultured Chrysophyceae. RNAcentral describes it as "partial small subunit ribosomal RNA". It matches the Rfam family "Eukaryotic small subunit ribosomal RNA", at positions 30 to 432 of the family's 1831-position model. Lineage: Eukaryota; Chrysophyceae. The record is from RNAcentral.